CCUACGGGAGGCAGCAGUGAGGAAUAUUGGUCAAUGGGCGGGAGCCUGAACCAGCCAAGUCGCGUGAGGGAAGACGGUCCUAUGGAUUGUAAACCUCUUUAGGCGGGGAGCAAGGCCGGGCACGCGUGCCCGGAGGGAGAGUACCCGCAGAAGAAGCAUCGGCUAACUCCGUGCCAGCAGCCGCGGUAAUACGGAGGAUGCGAGCGUUAUCCGGAUUUAUUGGGUUGAAAGGGUGCGUAGGCGGAUUUUGAAGUCAGCGGUAAAAUGUCCGGGCUCCACCCGGGCCGGCCGUUGAAACUGGGGUUCUUGCGUGGGCGAGAAUUCUGCGGAAUGCGUGUUGUAGCGG
Molecule: ribosomal RNA, 346 nt
Filed under: uncultured bacterium
Lineage: Bacteria
Description: partial 16S ribosomal RNA
Rfam family: Bacterial small subunit ribosomal RNA
Source: RNAcentral